RNAcentral lists this long non-coding RNA (288 nucleotides) under Lathyrus oleraceus (garden pea). Its description in RNAcentral is "Pisum sativum (pea) long non-coding RNA (PSAT_LNC027389)". Lineage: Eukaryota; Viridiplantae; Streptophyta; Magnoliopsida; Fabales; Fabaceae. The record is from RNAcentral.
CAAGCUCUAGUGGAGAUGUAAGAAGGUGGAACGAAUGAAACAAGGAUGUCUGCAUAGAGGGGUUGCUAGAGGACCGUUAAGACCCCAGGUAGGAAAAAAAGGUUAUUCUAUAAAUUUGUUGAGAAUUUUAUUUCACUAAGACUUUUUCAAACGGGGACAUCAAUACCACAAUAAUAGAGGAAAUCAGCAACAACCAUACACCUGGCCCCAAAGAAAUGGUAGGGACCAACCUCGAGGACAUUUCAAGGGAGGUCAGAAGCUGCAAAAUUAAGGUACUAUUCAGUGCUA